RNAcentral lists this ribosomal RNA (253 nucleotides) under uncultured bacterium. RNAcentral's name for it is "partial 16S ribosomal RNA". It matches the Rfam family "Bacterial small subunit ribosomal RNA", at positions 524 to 776 of the family's 1533-position model. The record is from RNAcentral.
UACAUGGGGUGCAACCGUUGCUCGGAAUUAUUGGGCGUAAAGGGCGCGUAGGCGGUGCGGUAAGUCACCUGUGAAAUCUCCCGGCUCAACUGGGAGCUUGCAGGCGAAACUGCCGUGCUGGAGUGUGGGAGAGGUGCGUGGAAUUCCCGGUGUAGCGGUGAAAUGCGUAGAUAUCGGGAGGAACUCCUGUGGCGAAAGCGGCGCACUGGACCACAACUGACGCUGAGGCGCGAAAGCUAGGGGAGCAAACAGG